Molecule: ribosomal RNA, 379 nt
Filed under: uncultured eukaryote
Lineage: Eukaryota
Description: SSU rRNA
Rfam family: Eukaryotic small subunit ribosomal RNA
Source: RNAcentral
AGCUCUGUAAGCGUAUACCAAAGUUGUUGCAGUUAAAACGCUCGUAGUCGAACCCAGGUAUUUUGUAUCGAUCACCCUAACGGGUGGUAUGGUAUAAAAGACCUUUUGCGGAUUGUGGAGGUUGGUGGUGCUUUGCUGCCUCGCCAACCGACCUGCCGCUUUUUACUGUGAAAAAAUUAAGGUGUUCAAAGCAAGCGUUUGCCUGAAUAUAUUAGCAUGGAAUAAUAGAAUAGGACCUGGUCCUUUUCUGUUGGUUUGUAAGUAUCAGGUAAUGAUUAACAGGGACGGUCGGGGGCAUUUGUAUUCCGUGGCGAGAGGUGAAAUUCUUAGACCCUCGGAAGACAUACAGCAGCGAAAGCGUCUGCCAAGGACGUUUUCA